RNAcentral lists this ribosomal RNA (301 nucleotides) under uncultured bacterium. RNAcentral describes it as "partial 16S ribosomal RNA". It matches the Rfam family "Bacterial small subunit ribosomal RNA", at positions 509 to 808 of the family's 1533-position model. The record is from RNAcentral.
CAGCAGCCACGGUAAUACGUAGGUGGCGAGCGUUGUCCGGAAUCAUUGGGCGUAAAGGGAGCGCAGGCGGGCAUGUAAGUCUUUCUUAAAAGUUCGGGGCUCAACCCCGUGAUGGGAAAGAAACUACAUGUCUUGAGUACAGGAGUGGAAAGCGGAAUUCCCAGUGUAGCGAUGAAAUGCGUAGAUAUUGGGAGGAACACCAGUGGCGAAGGCGGCUUUCUGGACUGCAACUGACGCUGAGGCUCGAAAGCCAGGGGAGCGAACGGGAUUAGAUACCCCUGUAGUCCCUGUCUCUUAUACC